RNAcentral lists this ribosomal RNA (465 nucleotides) under uncultured bacterium. RNAcentral's name for it is "partial 16S ribosomal RNA". It matches the Rfam family "Bacterial small subunit ribosomal RNA", at positions 339 to 795 of the family's 1533-position model. The record is from RNAcentral.
CUACGGGUUGCUGCAGUGGGGAAUAUUGGACAAUGGGGGAAACCCUGAUCCAGCAAUGCCGCGUGUGUGAAGAGGGCCUGCGGGUUGUAAAGCACUUUCGGUUGGGAGGACUGCUUCUAGCACUAAUAUUGUUGGAAGUUGACGUUACCUUCAGAAGAAGCACCGGCUAACUCCGUGCCAGCAGCCGCGGUAAUACAGAGGGUGCAAGCGUUAAUCGGAAUUACUGGGCGUAAAGCGCGCGUAGGCGGCUAGAUCAGUCGGGUGUGAAAGCCCCGGGCUUAACCUGGGAACUGCAUCCGAUACUGUCUAGCUUGAGUACAGGAGAGGAGAGUGGAAUUCCACAUGUAGCGGUGAUAUGCGUAGAUAUGUGGAGGAACACCAAUGGCGAAGGCAGCUCUCUGGCCUGAUACUGACGCUGAGGUGCGAAAGCGUGGGGAGCAAACAGGAUUAGAUACCCGUGUAGUC